This is a long non-coding RNA of Octopus bimaculoides (California two-spot octopus), 1769 nucleotides long. RefSeq lists it as uncharacterized. Lineage: Eukaryota; Metazoa; Mollusca; Cephalopoda; Octopoda; Octopodidae. The record is from RefSeq and is a predicted model, not a curated record.
UAUAAUAAGGAUGCACACACACACACACAUACAUAUAUAUAUAUAUAUAUAUAUACAUAUGUGUAUGUGUGUGUACAUAGGAGUGUAUGGGGGUAUGUAAGUGAGUGAAAGAGAGAGAGAGGGAGGGAGAGAGAGAGAGAGUAAAAGAGAUUGAUAGAAACACAGAGAGGGAGAGAGAGAGAAAACAAGAACAGUAUGAAAUAUUGCGCAUGGACUGAUGGACAGAAAUAUUGCAUUUUAAAGGGAAACAAACAAAUACCAACUAACGUUUGAUUUAACCUCAACAACAACAACAACAACAACAAUCUAAUGAAGGAAAGAAAGAAGAAAAGGAAAAGGAAAAGAAGGUGGACGAAAGCAUUUUAUUGAUUGAGUAGAAACAAAUAACCAAUUCGCUUCAACAUCCAAGAAAGAAAAAUGGGUAGACUACAUUUCACUCCUUAGAUUUCCGGUUUAUCUUCCUGCUCAGGAUGCGUUGAUUGAAUUUCAAAUAGAUGGAGGAUCUGCAAAUGGAAUGACAUUCAUCUCAAAUAUUGCCGCAUGUUGUCUGGAUGGAAUUAAACUAGUUUCUCAUUUAGACAUGGUCAUGUGAUUAAGAAGUUUAUUUUGCAACCAUGUGGCUUUGGUUCAAGUCCCUGCCAUGUGCCACUUUGGCAGAAAAUUUAUUCCGAAGUGAAUUUAUUGACAGAAUGUAUCUUCAUCAUUACAAAUACAAGCCCUGGAAUUGUCAUCACUUGGAAAAACUGGAAUGACAGAUGUUGUAUCGUAUCCUUUUAGAUCGAAAAUAUACCAACGAAAUGAGAUUCCUCUUUUUGUAUAUUAUUACAUAAUAUUGGUUAAUUUACUCUGUUUCUCUCUGUGGAACUAUUAUUGUUUGAUGUGGCAUACAAACUAGCUAGCUUACGGAAAGACUUCCCUUUAUUUUUAUUGUUACUGUAGGAACAGUAAAUCUAGUGCAGAGAACAGGUAACUGCUUUCCAUGCCGUCUCUGUUAAGUGGCGUUCAGUCGUCCGUUUUUGGAUAAAUCUAAAAUAUAUACUUUCAAAAUGAGCUUGCUCCAUUCAUGUUUUUAAAAGCGCUCUAUGAUGGGACUGAACCAAGGUCUUAUGCAAUAAUGUAACCUGGACUAUUCCUGUUUGUUGAUAUUCCUUUACAUGAUUAAUCUACUUAACAAAAGUCUUUGAUAUUGUAACUUUCUACUUAAUUUUUAUCAGCUCUUUACAUCACAGAUUCAAAUCCUGACUUUCAUCCCUCUGGGGUCGAUAAAAAUCUACCCAGUGAAAUACUAGGUCGAUUUAGUCGAGUAACCCCCUCCACCACAAAUUACUGACUUAGUGCUAGCAGUUACUUAUUGUAGUAAAGUUUUGUUAAAGUAAAUAGUUUUGAUUGUUUGUGCAGGUGGCACGUAAAAAAACACCUUUUUGAGCGUGGCCGUUGCCAGAACCGUGUGACUGGUCCUCGUGCCGGUGGCACGUAAAAGCACCCACUAAAUUCUCGGAGUGGUUGGCGUUACGAAGGGCAUCCAGCCGGAGAAACUCUGCCAGAUCAGAUUGGAGCCUGGUGCAGCCUUCUGGCUUGCCAGUCCUCAGUCAAAUCGUCCAACCCAUGCUAACAUGGAAAGCGAACGUUAAACGAUGAUGAUGGAACCGCUUAAUAAUGCAUAAUAUGUUUGGGAGAAAUCCCAUGGGAAUUGUAGAAGCCGCUGAGUACUGGAUGGAAUAUCUAGCAGUAAUAUGGACGUACUUCAUUUUAGUUACAAAUCGCAUCGA